RNAcentral lists this non-coding RNA (24 nucleotides) under Arabidopsis thaliana (thale cress). Lineage: Eukaryota; Viridiplantae; Streptophyta; Magnoliopsida; Brassicales; Brassicaceae. The record is from RNAcentral.
GCCAUGACUCCGAACAGCACCACU